Molecule: ribosomal RNA, 410 nt
Filed under: uncultured Methylomirabilota bacterium
Lineage: Bacteria; Methylomirabilota (SeqCode)
Description: bacterial SSU rRNA
Rfam family: Bacterial small subunit ribosomal RNA
Source: RNAcentral
AGCGUGGAGACAGGUGGUGCAUGGCUGUCGUCAGCUCGUGUCGUGAGAUGUUGGGUUAAGUCCCGCAACGAGCGCAACCCUCACCUCUUGUUGCCAUCAGGUCAUGCUGGGCACUCUAGAGGAACUGCCCCGGUCAACGGGGAGGAAGGCGGGGAUGACGUCAAGUCAUCAUGCCCCUUACGCCCUGGGCUACACACGUGCUACAAUGGCCGGUACAAAGGGAUGCCACACCGCGAGGUAGAGCUAAACCCAAAAAGCCGGUCUAAGUUCAGAUUGGAGUCUGCAACUCGACUCCAUGAAGGAGGAAUCGCUAGUAAUCGCGUAUCAGCACGACGCGGUGAAUACGUUCCCGGGCCUUGUACACACCGCCCGUCACACCACGAAAGCCUGCUGUACUCGAAGUCGCUGAG